This 301-nucleotide ribosomal RNA is filed under the name uncultured bacterium. RNAcentral describes it as "partial 16S ribosomal RNA". It matches the Rfam family "Bacterial small subunit ribosomal RNA", at positions 509 to 807 of the family's 1533-position model. The record is from RNAcentral.
CAGUAGCCGCGGUAACACGGAGGGGGCUAGCGUUGUUCGGAAUUACUGGGCGUAAAGCGCACGUAGGCGGCUUGGUAAGUUAGAGGUGAAAGCCCGGAGCUCAACUCCGGAAUUGCCUUUAAGACUGCCGAGCUAGUAGGUGAGAGAGGUAAGUGGAAUUCCGAGUGUAGAGGUGAAAUUCGUAGAUAUUCGGAAGAACACCAGUGGCGAAGGCGGCUUACUGGCUCAUUCUAGACGCUGAGGUGCGAAAGCGUGGGGAGCAAACAGGAUUAGAUACCCCCGUAGUCCCUGUCUCUUAUAC